This 29-nucleotide ribosomal RNA is filed under the name Emblica officinalis (emblic). Its description in RNAcentral is "Phyllanthus emblica partial 28S ribosomal RNA". Lineage: Eukaryota; Viridiplantae; Streptophyta; Magnoliopsida; Malpighiales; Phyllanthaceae. The record is from RNAcentral.
GCGACCCCAAGGUCAAGGCGGAAUUACCA